ACGGGAGGCAGCCGUGGGGAAUAUUGCACAAUGGGCGCAAGCCUGAUGCAGCGAUGCCGCGUGAGGGAAGAAGGUUUUCGGAUUGUAAACCUCUGUCAACAGGGACGAAAAUGACGGUACCUGUGAAGGAAGCUCCGGCUAACUACGUGCCAGCAGCCGCGGUAAUACGUAGGGAGCAAGCGUUAUCCGGAAUUACUGGGUGUAAAGGGAGUGUAGGCGGGACUGUAAGUCAGAUGUGAAAUAUGCCGGCUCAACUGGCAGACUGCAUUUGAAACUGCGGUUCUUGAGUGAAGUAGAGGUAAGCGGAAUUCCUAGUGUAGCGGUGAAAUGCGUAGAUAUUAGGAGGAACAUCAGUGGCGAAGGCGGCUUACUGAGCUUUAACUGACGCUGAGGCUCGAAAGCGUGGGGAGCAAACAGGAUUAGAUACCCUGGUA
RNAcentral lists this ribosomal RNA (434 nucleotides) under uncultured Ruminococcus sp. Its description in RNAcentral is "bacterial SSU rRNA". It matches the Rfam family "Bacterial small subunit ribosomal RNA", at positions 341 to 792 of the family's 1533-position model. Lineage: Bacteria; Bacillati; Bacillota; Clostridia; Eubacteriales; Oscillospiraceae. The record is from RNAcentral.